UGGGGAAUAUUGCACAAUGGGCGAAAGCCUGAUGCAGCAACGCCGCGUGAGUGAUGAAGGCCUUCGGGUUGUAAAGCUCUGUCUUUUGGGACGAUAAUGACGGUACCAAAGGAGGAAGCCACGGCUAACUACGUGCCAGCAGCCGCGGUAAUACGUAGGUGGCAAGCGUUGUCCGGAUUUACUGGGCGUAAAGGAUGCGUAGGCGGAUUUUUAAGUGAGAUGUGAAAAACCCUAAGCUUAACUUGGGGACUGCAUUUCAUACUGGAAAUCUAGAGUGCGGGAGAGGAGAAUGGAAUUCCUAGUGUAGCGGUGAAAUGCGUAGAGAUUAGGAAGAACACCAGUGGCGAAGGCGAUUCUCUGGACCGUAACUGACGCUGAGGCAUGAAAAGCGUGGGUAGCAAACAGGAUUAGAUACCCUGGUAGUCCACGCCGUAAAACGAUGAGUACUAGGUGUAGGAGGUAUCGACCCCUUCUGUGCCGCAGUUAACAC
Molecule: ribosomal RNA, 490 nt
Filed under: uncultured bacterium
Lineage: Bacteria
Description: partial 16S ribosomal RNA
Rfam family: Bacterial small subunit ribosomal RNA
Source: RNAcentral